Molecule: ribosomal RNA, 428 nt
Filed under: Bacillota bacterium
Lineage: Bacteria; Bacillati; Bacillota
Description: Firmicutes bacterium partial 16S ribosomal RNA
Rfam family: Bacterial small subunit ribosomal RNA
Source: RNAcentral
UGGGGAAUUUUGGACAAUGGGCGAAAGCCUGAUCCAGCAAUGCCGCGUGUGUGAAGAAGGCCUUCGGGUUGUAAAGCACUUUUGUCCGGAAAGAAAUGGCUCUGGUUAAUACCUGGGGUCGAUGACGGUACCGGAAGAAUAAGGACCGGCUAACUACGUGCCAGCAGCCGCGGUAAUACGUAGGGUCCAAGCGUUAAUCGGAAUUACUGGGCGUAAAGCGUGCGCAGGCGGUUGUGCAAGACCGAUGUGAAAUCCCCGAGCUUAACUUGGGAAUUGCAUUGGUAACUGCAGGGCUAGAUUGGGUCAGAGGGGGUAGAAUUCCACGUGUAGCAGUGAAAUGCGUAGAGAUGUGGAGGAAUACCGAUGGCGAAGGCAGCCCCCUGGGAUAACACUGACGCUCAUGCACGAAAGCGUGGGGAGCAAACAGG